GAUGAACGCUGGCGGCGUGCCUAAUACAUGCAAGUCGAGCGAACAGACGAGGAGCUUGCUCCUCUGACGUUAGCGGCGGACGGGUGAGUAACACGUGGAUAACCUACCUAUAAGACUGGGAUAACUUCGGGAAACCGGAGCUAAUACCGGAUAAUAUAUUGAACCGCAUGGUUCAAUAGUGAAAGACGGUUUUGCUGUCACUUAUAGAUGGAUCCGCGCCGCAUUAGCUAGUUGGUAAGGUAACGGCUUACCAAGGCAACGAUGCGUAGCCGACCGGAGAGGGUGAUCGGCCACACUAGAACGGAAACGCGGACCAGGCUCCUGCGGGAGGCAGCAGUAGGGAAUCUUCCGCAAUGGGCGAAAGCUUGACGGAGCAACGCCGCGUGAGUGAUAAAGGUCUACGGAUCGUAAAACUCUGUUAUGAGGGAAAAACAAAUGUGUAAGUAACUAUGCACGUCUUGACGGUACCUAAUCAGAAAGCCACGGCUAACUACGUG
RNAcentral lists this ribosomal RNA (497 nucleotides) under uncultured bacterium. RNAcentral's name for it is "partial 16S ribosomal RNA". It matches the Rfam family "Bacterial small subunit ribosomal RNA", at positions 28 to 507 of the family's 1533-position model. The record is from RNAcentral.